AUUGGUGUUCUUCAUGGAGCGCGCCGAUCAGGAUGCGUCGCUGCAGCUCUGUGCGUUUUUGCCGCUGCCGCAAACGCUACCGGGCUAUGCAAUCUAUCGAGCCUUCAGUUGGGUCGAUACGCAAUCGAACGGAGGUCGUUGCGGAUGAUCAUCGGCAUCCGGGUGGUGCCUACCAGGCGAGAGCGCUGGAGGCACGCUUGAACGGGUGCGGUCGCUGAGGCCAAUUGCCGUACGCCAGGGAAGGUGUAGGCUCGAUGACACAUCGUGCUGCGCUCUUAAAUGCCCUGUGAUGUAAUGUUUCGUUUACUGGACUAUUCUUUGAGUCUAUGUGGUGCACCACAAUCAGUAACAUUGAUGCGAAGACGCGGCGUCUUUGUGCAGGAUGCGAAGACAACAACGUUGGCGACGUUACCAGUGCUCUGCUGCGAUGUCGUCCAAUGCGCUCGGGUUCAGGUCGAUGAGGGCGGCAUCGACGCCCUCGGGAACUCGUGUCGAGAGAAUCUGCAAGAGUGUCGACUCGACGUUGCCGAUUUCGUAGCGACCGAGUUCGUAAAUAUGAGCGAAUCCUACCGACAAAAACAUCAUCAGGCCCAGAAGAAGCGUGCUAAUGGCAGCCCUACUUGAUAGGUUUUCGGCAAAACUGGAGAUCCAUGCCAUGGCCGGGACUAGUUGGAGCUCUCGCUCGCCCGAAUACAGUUCCUUUUCAUAUUCACUGAGCGGGCGUGGCAUUGGGGCGGCUCGCAACCACUCCGGGGGUACCGCGGACGCGCUAUCACCUCCACCAGUGUUCUCUGUAGAUGGUGAACUCACUACCGUCGAGCGUAGUGGUGGUCCCAGAUUCCAUCCAAAGACGUACUGGCCCACGAGACGAUCCUCUUCGUAACGUUUUUCAAACCAUUUCUGAAACGCGCGAACGUCCUCCUCGUUGCGGCGCUCGGCCCAACGUCGAACGCGAUCGAGAUCAUCGCGGCUGCGUUCGGUGAUGGCCGCGCGGGCUUGCCGAUCCAUUCGAGUGCGCUCUGCGAUGAACGUCAGCACGGUACGCAGGUCCUCCUCCGACCGCCUGUCGAUGAGUUUCCGGAGCAUCAACAGACGUUCCCCAAUGGUCUCUCGUCGCCGUUCCCGCGUUUCGGGAUCACUCCGGUUCGAUCGGUACACGUUCCAUUCGGGUGCCGGGCUAAUGUGGCCCAGUCGCUGCUCCAUGUCGGCCCAGGCCUUUAACAUGGGGUCCGUCCUCUUUGCGCCCUCGAGUUCGGAGCGGACACGCCGAACAUCAUCCACUCUGCCGCCUGCUGCGAGGAUACCACGCUCGAAGACCUUCCGCGCCUCCUCGUGGUUUCCCAGUCGAUCCUCCAUUGUUGCCCAAGCAUGGUACACGGGAACGUGCGAUGGCCACAACUCAGCCGCCCUCUGGAAGAGAUUACGCGCUCUUUCGUAGUGACCUUGUCGGGCCUCGGCAAUGCCGUAGGCCUGCAGCGUCGGCACCGACACCGGAUCCAACCGGAGUGCUUGUUCAAAUUUGGCUGCCGCGUGCUCCCAGUCGCCUUGUUUACUGAGCGCAAUGCCGUACGCCUGCCACGAUGGCACAUGGCUCGGGUUCGACUCCACCGCUCGUUCGAAAUACGCGCAUGCUUCCACGCUCGCACCAUUGCGCAGAUGAAACAUUCCAAAAGCCUGCAGCAGAAAAACGUUCCUCGGAUCACGAGCGAGGCCGGCCUCGAACAACUCCUGCGCACGCUCGCUGUGACCGGUACGCUCCUCCAGCAACGCAUACGCUUGCCAUAUGACGCCGUCAGAAGGAUCUAUUUUGAGUGCCUUGUCUAAAAGCGACCUAGCCGCGUCAG
This 1844-nucleotide unclassified non-coding RNA is filed under the name Cyanidioschyzon merolae strain 10D. RNAcentral describes it as "hypothetical transcript". The record is from RNAcentral. Lineage: Eukaryota; Rhodophyta; Bangiophyceae; Cyanidiales; Cyanidiaceae.